UGUCAAUAUUUAUUCCAACCCUUAUGUUUUUUUUCAUCUGCAAGUUUCUACCUAUUAAGCCAGAUAGACUCAAGUUUGGAAAUAGAGAAAUAAGAUAUUAAUUAAACCCAUCGCAUAAAGUCUGAGUACCAAAAACUAGACUACAAAGAUGUUGUGUAGAAGAGGAAUGAUGAGAAAAUCCCGUCAGUCACCAAUCACAACCAGAAUUUCAUGAAAAUUUACAAGAUAAUAUGCAAUGGAUAAUUAAAUAGUAACUGAAUUUUUUAACUAAAAAAAAAGGUAAAAAAAUACCUCCUAUCAUAAAGGAUGGUAGCAUGACCAUGGAAAUCUUUAAAAUGAUUAUCAAGUAACACUAUUGAACCAAGACUAAUAUAACAAUCAGGCUUUACAAAUCACCCUUUGCAUACUAUAUUUGAUAAUUUUUUUUAAAUAUGUUCUUACUAAAGUUAAGAGUUAAUUUCCUAUAUAUUAUCUCCAUUAUUCAAGUUCUCAAGUACACAACUUAAAAGAAUAGAGUAAACACACAUAUAUGUUAGUUGCUGGAAUAUUUAUGUAAAUAAAAUGUUUACCUGCAGUUAAUUAAGAAUCCACUAUAGUAUUGAGGAAGUUUUAUUGUAUGUCUGCAUUUGAAACAAAGAAAAGGUGCAUAUUCAAUAAAUAUAUAGCGUUAAUUGUUGGAUGUAGUUUUUAUCCCUAAGACUUUAGUUGAUGUAUAGGUGUAACUUUACCUUCAAAAAGUUUCUAGAAACUGAAUCAAUUCAUUGGGAUUUUAGAUUUAAGUUGCAUUAAAUUAUGGAGAAAUACCUUUCUCUUACUCUUACUUCAGAUUGAAUACAUAAAAUUCAAAACCCCAAGUGCUUGCUAAUGACUGAAUAAGAAAAGCCAACAAAUUCAUGAAUAACAACAUCAUCGUCACCUAAUUUUCUUCCAUUUUGAUCUUCAACAUCUUCACCAUCAUAUCUUUGGCCCUUUUACAGGGUAAUUUUUCCCUCCUUUCAUUUCUUCGUUUAUCCAAAACAGAUUGAUAUACGCCCAAAAGAUUUUUCCUUAC
This 1051-nucleotide long non-coding RNA is filed under the name Vigna radiata. RNAcentral's name for it is "long non-coding RNA (VRAD_LNC000919)". The record is from RNAcentral. Lineage: Eukaryota; Viridiplantae; Streptophyta; Magnoliopsida; Fabales; Fabaceae.